AACGAACGCUGGCGGCAUGCCUAACACAUGCAAGUCGAACGAAGGCUUCGGCCUUAGUGGCGCACGGGUGCGUAACGCGUGGGAAUCUGCCCUUGGGUUCGGAAUAACUCAGAGAAAUUUGAGCUAAUACCGGAUGAUGACGUAAGUCCAAAGAUUUAUCGCCCAAGGAUGAGCCCGCGUAAGAUUAGCUAGUUGGUGGGGUAAAGGCCUACCAAGGCGACGAUCUUUAGCUGGUCUGAGAGGAUGAUCAGCCACACUGGGACUGAGACACGGCCCAGACUCCUACGGGAGGCAGCAGUGGGGAAUAUUGGACAAUGGGCGAAAGCCUGAUCCAGCAAUGCCGCGUGAGUGAUGAAGGCCUUAGGGUUGUAAAGCUCUUUUACCAGGGAUGAUAAUGACAGUACCUGGAGAAUAAGCCCCGGCUAACUCCGUGCCAGCAGCCGCGGUAAUGUGUGACUG
RNAcentral lists this ribosomal RNA (459 nucleotides) under uncultured bacterium. RNAcentral describes it as "bacterial SSU rRNA". It matches the Rfam family "Bacterial small subunit ribosomal RNA", at positions 29 to 532 of the family's 1533-position model. The record is from RNAcentral.